UAAAUUUAUGUAAGUCCACUUUAUAUUCAGUCCUGAAGUCAUGUAUUUCCUUACUGAUAUUGUGUAGCAUUGAGCGCACGGUUUCUGCAGAGUCAUCUUUUGAGCUUCGAGCUUUGUCCAUCUCUGGUGAAUUCUUUCUUUCUCGCCCGUCACGUUUCUUUUGACUUCUAGUUGUCGCUCCCCCACUCAUUCCAAAACAGAAUACUGUGAAUUAUGUGGCAAUUAGUGAAUUAAGGGAGGCUAGUUUUAAACUUGCUAUCGGGAGCUCGAAAUUAAGCAGCCAUCUGCUCGCGUCGCCACCGGAGGUCUUUCACUUUCUGAAGAAGAUGU
This is a long non-coding RNA of Amblyraja radiata (thorny skate), 330 nucleotides long. RefSeq lists it as uncharacterized. Lineage: Eukaryota; Metazoa; Chordata; Chondrichthyes; Rajiformes; Rajidae. The record is from RefSeq and is a predicted model, not a curated record. The transcript has 4 exons.